CCGCAGCGCGUGGCGCAGCACGAUGUUGCGGAAACUCACGCCCUUCAGGCGUGCCGUGCGGAUGUAUUGCGCGGUCAUCACCUCGGCCAUGCUCGCCCGGGUCAUCCGGGCGAUGUAGCCCAUGCCGUAGAGCGCGAUGGUCGCCACCGGCAGGGUGAAGUUCUCGAAGGUG
RNAcentral lists this non-coding RNA (172 nucleotides) under marine eukaryotic metagenome. Its description in RNAcentral is "Ruegeria cis52 sRNA". It matches the Rfam family "Ruegeria cis52 sRNA". From Rfam's summary of the family: Cis-encoded. Targets oligo/dipeptide ABC transporter. The record is from RNAcentral.